This 5063-nucleotide long non-coding RNA is filed under the name Brassica rapa (field mustard). RNAcentral's name for it is "long non-coding RNA (BRAP_LNC003040)". The record is from RNAcentral. Lineage: Eukaryota; Viridiplantae; Streptophyta; Magnoliopsida; Brassicales; Brassicaceae.
GACUAUAAUCAUUAGAUUCCUUAGAUCUUGUAUGGACCACAACUAGUUCCAUCAUACAUUCCUUAAGAGCACCUUUAUCCCAGUUUCUAUAAGGGGUUCUAUACAUUAAUGAUGUAUUUAUUUAAAUAAAAAGAAAUUAAAUUGGAUGUAAUCGAUCCUUAAUGGAGGAUUUUCGGAACCGAUUAUGGAAUGGUUUCUAUGGGCACGUGUCGGCUAAAGAAGAGAGGAGGAGUAAUUAAAGUUUUUUUUUCCUUUGUCUCUUUCUUCUCUUCUCUUCUCCGCUUCUCUCUUCUCUGUUCUCUGUUCUCUCUUCUCUCUUGUUCUUCAGAGGAGACGACGAGUUUGAUUCGUCACGAAGCCAAUGCCAUCCUCCGCAUGCAAUCUCAUCACCUUCUUCUUUAUCUACUCUGUCACCCCAAACUCGAUCUCUAAUCUCCUUCUCCAGCUUCACUCCCAAAACUCAAGUUUUCUCCAGAAUCAGAACCAGAACCAGAAUCCCUUAUCUUCCUUCUUCUGUGUUUGCUUCCCAUCGACCCCGCAAUAUCAUCAACGUAAGAGUCGAUUUUUCCUCUAUUUAGUAGAUUCGAUUUUUUAAAUUGUUGUUGUUGAAACGAUUCAGUUUCCGGGUUUUAAAGAGGGGGCUUGUGCUGUUUUGUUUGUUGCAGGUGGGUUUGUUCAGGGGAUCGUGACGUGUUUGUGGAUCUUGAUGCCUUUGUCAGGUAAAGAUUCAUGUUUUAGUCUUGUUGGAGGCGUAAUUAGGAGCGGAUUGUUUUGUUGAUGAAUUAACUGAUUUAGUCUUGUGGGAGGUUUAAAUUGAGUUUAUCUAGUGAACGAUCUCUGCUAAUUAACUCAUUUAGUCUUGUGGGAGGCUAGCAUCAAGUUAAGAGCUUUGUGUAAUGAGUUGAUCUAGUGAAUGAUCUCUGGUUGUUCUGUUUUGCUCAGCUAGUCGUAUGUGUGUUUGCAUAAUACAAUAGGAUAGUGUCUUCAAGCUCUUAUUAGAUCUCUGCCUUUAACUUAACCUUAAUACAAUAGAUUCAUCUUCAAGCUUUGCAUAAUACAGUAGCAUUAUUCAUUAUGUUUACUAAUUCUUUUUAAUUUCUUCAUCUUUUGCGAGUCCUCUAUUGGUAGUUGCGCUUGCUGUGGCACAGGCUUUUCCCAUCAGCUGUCUUGGAGAAGCAACCAUUACUGGCGCCUCACGGUGAGGUAAAUUUGUCAAACUUGAUCUUCUUCAAGUCUUGGAUCUUCCUUUAUUGCUUUACUGUGGAUGGUAGUUGAUAGAUGGGGUUUAAUAAAUGCUUGUUAGAGCUGAUAGAUUGCUAGUUAAAACGCGUGUGAUCAAUGGUUGGUUUAGUUUAACUUUAGGAUUGUGUGCAAUGUAAUAAAUAUGGUAGAUUCAUGUCAACUCAUCUUAACUCAACUCAAAUCCAAGAGUUGUGUGUGAUCAAUGCUUCCUUCUCUUCUCUUCUAUUAAACCCGGAUCUUCUUCUUUCUCUCUUCUCCACAUUUCUUCUUCUUCUUCACAUAACUUCUUCUUUCUCGCUUCUUUCAGACUACUUCCUAUUUUUCUCUUCUUUAGGAUAUGGAUCCUACAAAUCCAUAUACUCAUUACAACUCGAGCUUUGUUGAUCUUUUGAGCAGUCAACAAGACCCGUUUUGUUCUGAGGGUUUAUCACAGCCCCCUGCAACUUCAACCUUUGGUGAUGACACACCUACCGAGCGCAAAGAAAGGAAGAAAUGGACUCCCACAGAGGACGUAGUGCUCAUAAGCUCAUGGUUGAAUACAAGCAAGGAUCCUGUGGUUGGCAAUGAGCAAAAGGCGGGAGCAUUCUGGAAACGGAUAGCAGCUUACUAUGCAGCCUCACCAAAGGUCGCAAACAGUGAAAAGCGAGAGGCUAUUCAGUGUAAGCAAAGGUGGCAGAAGAUUAACGACCUUGUUUCCAAGUUUUGUGGCUCAUAUGAGGCGGCAACAAGACAAAAAACAAGUGGGCAGAACGACGGUGAUGUUGUUAAGCUUGCCCACGAAAUCUUUUAUAACGAUCACAAGAUCAAAUUCAACCUUCACCACGCUUGGGAGGAGUUGCGCAACGACCAGAAAUGGUGUGAACUUGCAACUUCUAAGCUUGAUGGUAGCUCUAAAAAGAGAAGGUGUGAGGAUGGUGCACAAUCUGAAAGCUCGCACGGAACUAUCAAUCUAGAUGAUCCACCAACCAAACGACCUGUUGGUGUUAAGGCAGCUAAAGGAGGAAGUAGUAAGAGAAGUAUGGAGGAUGGCAAGGGUUUCACCGCAUUUCAAAACAUGUGGGCUCUGAAAGACAAAGACUUGGAACGCAAGGAAAAACUGAAACGGAUGUGUCUGAUAGACAGACUCCUUGCGAAAACAGAGCCAUUAUCUGAAGAAGAAGAAGCUCUAAAGAAGAAGUUGAUCAGAGAGAUGUUGGCUACUCAGCUCUAAACGCGUCUUUACCUUUCUUUGUCUCGUUCUUAGUGUACCAUAUUCUGUUUCUUGUUCUAUGUUUCAGGUUCUUGGUCUUGGUCGAAACUACUUUUAAGUUUCUUGUGCUUGUUCUGUAUCUUCAAUUUCUUGUUUAUGUAUCGUCUGUGAUGAUGUUGUUUAAUGGAUUUAAGUUUUAAUGGAAUGGUGUAGUUCUGUAAUUGCAUUAAGAUUUAAGUUUCUUGGUAUGGUGUAGUUCUGUAAUUGCAUUAAGUUUCUUGUUAUGGUGUAGUUCUGUAAUUGCAUUAAGAUUUAAGUUUCUUGUUAUUUUUUUUCUCAGCAGGUAACAAGACAGAAGACGAGUGGGAGUCAUGUUUGAUCACGAGUGUGCUGAGCGCUGUGAAGUCAUGUUUGAGUCAGAGACUGAGCGCUUUGAAGUCAUGUGUGAUCACGAGUGUUGUUUGAUUGUGUCAUGUAUUGGUUGUAUGUGUCACGGAAAGGGAAUGGUCUUUGUCUUUUUGUCUGAUCACUAGUGUCUUUUUGUAAAGUCACGGACUAAUGUUUUGUCAUCAGACUGUCUUUUAUGUUUUGUAAGUUUAUGUCACAGACUUGUAAUCAGCUUCUCUCUUAAAUUUAAGUCCUAUAAAGGCUCGAUGGCAUUGGCUUUCAUCUUUGUACCACUUCUCUCUUUCAUCUUUCAUCUUUGUAUCACUUCUCUCCUUGUUAUUUCAUUUUUCACGAUCACCUUCUCUCUUAUGUUUAAGUCUUGUUAACCACAACAACAAAGUAAACCACAUCAAAGUUAUUCUCCUUCUUAUUCUCCAACAAAUCAAAUCUUAUUCACAACAUCUAAACACAUGGCUUCUUCUUCACAAAACUCAUUUGAGGGAUCACUUGAUGAGGAAUUUGAUCAAUAUUUUGAUGAAGCUUUUGAUCAACUUUUUGAUGAAACAAUCGAGAAUAUGGCUAUUCAAUACAGUGGUCAAGAAGAUGAGAGAAAAGAAAGGAAAAAACGAGUUUAUAUCGAAAGAAAUCGAGAAGCCGGUCAUAUACGAUUAUGGAAUGAUUAUUUCAGUGAGACUCCGACGUAUCCUGAAAAUUUAUUCCGACGACGUUUUAGAAUGAACAAGCCAUUGUUCAUGCACAUUGUUGAACGACUUUCCAACGAAGUUCAAUUCUUUCGCCAAAAGAAAGAUGGUCUUGGAAGGCUUGGUCUCUCUGCCCUCCAAAAGUGUACAGCAGCCAUUCGUGUCUUGGCUUAUGGUACUGCAGCUGAUGCGGUCGAUGAAUAUCUCCGGCUCGGGGAAACAACAACUCGGGCAUGUGUGGAAAAAUUUGUGGAAGGAAUAAUCAAUUUAUUCGGUGAGGAGUAUCUAAGAAAACCAACACCGGCUGAUCUUCAACGUCUACUUGAUAAUGGAGAGUAUCAUGGAUUUUCCGGGAUGAUAGGAAGCAUCGAUUGUAUGCAUUGGGAGUGGAAGAAUUGUCCCACCGCUUGGAAAGGGCAAUAUUCGCGUGGUUCGGGUAAACCAACAAUCGUUUUAGAGGCCGUGGCUUCAUCUGAUCUCUGGAUAUGGCAUGCGUUUUUUGGUCCUCCAGGUACCUUAAAUGAUAUUAAUGUUCUUGACCGCUCACCUGUUUUUGAUGACAUAAUAAAUGGUCAAGCUCCGCAAGUCACUUACUCUGUCAAUGGAAGAGAGUAUCAUAUGGCUUACUAUCUGACCGAUGGUAUUUAUCCCAAAUGGGCGACUUUUAUCCAAUCUAUUCCACUACCACAAGGACCGAAAGCAGUUUUAUUUGCUCAACGUCAAGAAGCUGUCCGAAAAGAUGUGGAGCGUGCUUUUGGAGUCUUGCAAGCUCGCUUUGCCAUUAUCAAAAAUCCGGCACUUUUUUGGGAUAAAGUCAAAAUUGGGAAGAUUAUGAGAGUAUGUAUCAUACUCCAUAAUAUGAUAGUAGAAGAUGAGCGGGAUGGAUACACACAAUUUCAUGUUUCUGAGUUUCUACAGAGAGAAGACACCGGAAGUUCACGUGUCGAUCUCGAUUUUUCUCAAGAUAUGCCUACAAAUAUCGCCAAUAGGAUGGGUGCUCGAACUAGAAUUCGCGAUAGAAAGAUGCAUCAACAACUAAAAGCGGAUUUGGUUGAACAUAUUUGGCAUAAAUUUGGACGUGAUGCAGACUACUGAGCUCGUUGAGCUCGUUUCAAAUUAUUUUAUAAUCUACUCUUUGUUUUUAUGUUUUUUUUAAAUAUAUGUUAAAAUUGUUAUCUUUCAAUAUGUUUUAUUUAAUAAAUCAAUUUUAUUUUAAAAAAAAUUAUAAUUUUUUUUUAAGAACCCUUAAUUAAGAAACCCCCAUUGCAGGCACAAAAUCGAACAGUUUCUUAACUAGAAUCCUUAAACCCACUUUAGUACAUUUAAUAAAUUAAAUAAUGAUUAAAGAAACCCACUUGAGUUUCAUGGAUAAUCAUGCUCUAAGUCUUAUAGUUUUCUUAUUUUUAUCUUUGAAUGAGCCUUUCUCGAAUAAGUAAUAAACUAAUAUUAAGAAUAUUUUAUGUCAGAAAAUGAAAAAAAAUAAAAUAAAAUAAUAAAAAAAAGAAAUAGAGAGACCUUUGCCACUUGGUUAAGCAAUAUAUGAC